UGCGUAGGGGGCAAGCGUUGUCCGGAUUUAUUGGGCGUAAAGAGCGUGUAGGCGGCCAUUCAGGUCAGCUGUGAAAACUCGAGGCUCAACCUCGAGACGUCGGUUGAAACCGUUUGGCUAGAGUCCGGAAGAGGAGAGUGGAAUUCCCGGUGUAGCGGUGAAAUGCGCAGAUAUCGGGAGGAACACCGGUGGUGUAGACGGCUCUCUGGACCAUAACUGACGCUGAGACACGAAAGCGUGGGUAGCAAACAGG
RNAcentral lists this ribosomal RNA (253 nucleotides) under uncultured bacterium. Its description in RNAcentral is "partial 16S ribosomal RNA". It matches the Rfam family "Bacterial small subunit ribosomal RNA", at positions 524 to 776 of the family's 1533-position model. The record is from RNAcentral.